This is a long non-coding RNA of Anolis carolinensis (green anole), 778 nucleotides long. RefSeq lists it as uncharacterized. The record is from RefSeq and is a predicted model, not a curated record. Lineage: Eukaryota; Metazoa; Chordata; Lepidosauria; Squamata; Anolidae. The transcript is spliced from 2 exons.
UGAAUUAUUAACAAAUAUAUCAGGGGCAGAGCAGGAGAGGUUCUCUCCCUAAAAUAAAUAAAUAAAGGGAGUUCAUUAUGCACCAUGAACCUGCUUAAAUAUUCAUCAUGUUGUUAAUGAACCACAUUCAUUUUUAAAAUGUGCAAUCGGAGAUGGCGUCGAACAUGAUUUGAUAAUAAUAUAAUCUGCUUAUAAUGGUAGAAAGGACGAGAACAGUGAAAAUAAUUAUAUCUCUAAACAUUCGACAUGGUUUCUUCCUGGAUAACGAGCAGCUGUUUUUCAUUAACCGUAACGUUAUAUCCGUAGUGGAUCAACCUGGCACAGCUGGGAACAUUUAGAAGAGUACAAUGUGUUACCGAACCAAGAUAGCUGAACUAUUCCUGUAAUAAAGCAAAAAGAUCUAACAUGAGAACUUCUCCAUUCUAAACACAAACUUAGCAAAAGGGAGGAAAGUGAUGUUUUGGUUCCUGCAACUACCACAGUGCCACAUCCCAGAUUUAACCCGGCAUCGUUAGAUCUGUAGUCUUUCAGCUUAUUUCACUUAUUUCUCCCUUCUUGCCCGGCAUUCCCAACAUGAAACUGUAAUCCCACCCUACUCCAACAACAGCCCAAGUUUAGGAAUUAAUGCUACAAAUGACACAAACAUCAAGAAGAAACACCGGUGCAAUUCGACCGGCAAUUGUAUCGCUCGUUUCUGUACGUGUGUCCCGAAAGAAAAUCUUUGCAUAAUUUUGCUCUUGCCACACAAUAAAUAGCUUUUUCUGGUUGAUUAAACACA